CACGUAGGGGCGAGCGUUGUCCGGAAUUACUGGGCGUAAAGGGCGCGCAGGCUGUUAUGCGAGUCUGCUGUGAAAUGUACCGGCUCAACCGGUGCCUUGCGGCGGAUACUGCAUAGCUGGAGUACUGGAGAGGGAAGUGGAAUUCCCGGUGUAGCGGUGAAAUGCGUAGAUAUAGGGAGGAACACCGGUGGCGAAGGCGGCUUUCUGGCCAGUUACUGACGCUCAUGCGCGAAAGCUGGGGUAGCGAACCGGAUUAGAUACCCCGGUA
Molecule: ribosomal RNA, 268 nt
Filed under: uncultured prokaryote
Description: partial 16S ribosomal RNA
Rfam family: Bacterial small subunit ribosomal RNA
Source: RNAcentral